GACGAACGCUGGCGGCGUGCUUAACACAUGCAAGUCGAACGGAAAGGCCCGGCUUUUGUGGGGUGCUCUAGUUGCGAACGGGUGAGUAACACGUGAGUAACCUGCCCCUGACUUUGGGAUAACUUCAGGAAACUGGGGCUAAUACCGGAUAGGAGCUCCUGCUGCAUGGUGGGGGUUGGAUAGUUUCGGCGGUUGGGGAUGGACUCGCGGCGCAUCAGGUUGUUGGUGGGGUAGUGGAUUAGCAAGGCCUUGACGGGUAGCCGGCCUGCGAGGGUGACCGGCUACAUUGGGACUGGAAUACGGCACAGACUCCUCCGGGAGGCAACGGUGGAGAAUAGUGUACAAUGGGCGGAAGCCUGAUGCAGCAACGCAACGUGCGGGAUGACGGCCUUCGGGUUGUAUACCGCAUUCGCCUGUGACGAAACGUUAGUGACGGUAAUGGGUAAAGAAGCACCGGCUAACUACGUG
RNAcentral lists this ribosomal RNA (468 nucleotides) under uncultured bacterium. RNAcentral describes it as "partial 16S ribosomal RNA". It matches the Rfam family "Bacterial small subunit ribosomal RNA", at positions 28 to 507 of the family's 1533-position model. The record is from RNAcentral.